RNAcentral lists this long non-coding RNA (375 nucleotides) under Bos taurus (domestic cattle). Its description in RNAcentral is "long non-coding RNA NONBTAT009133". The record is from RNAcentral. Lineage: Eukaryota; Metazoa; Chordata; Mammalia; Artiodactyla; Bovidae.
UUCAGGGAAGAAAGUCAAUAUUUAGAAUACCUUUGCCAAGUAAAACUUGAGACAUGCUUUCAAAAUCUAGUUUGUACAUACUUCCACAUAAAUUCACUGGACCAAAUCUUUCUAUAAAUGACUAUAUUCUGUAUUAUAGUUAUAAUUUGAUUAAACCUGGAAUUUCAAAGAAAUACUACAAAUUGAAAUAAUGCCUAAAUUAGCACCAUAUGAAAUGGAUCUUUAUAUUUUAAAAAGGUUAGACUGGCCUUAGUUUUAUUUUGAAUGCUAAUAUCAAUUUUUAAAUGCACUCUCUAUAAAGACUAGUGAAACAACCUCAGCUGAAGUUAAUUUAGAAAUAGAAAACUAUACAUAAAUAUAAAAACAAAUCUCUAG